UGCGAAGGAAGAGAUAAAUCGUAUCACCUUAUCAAAACAUUCACAGUAGAAGCACGAAGACCUUAUAAAGGGUCACUAUGUUAUCAUUGAUAGGGAUGAAAUUUAACAGAUAUAAUUGAAAAGGACAAAGUUCAAUU
Non-coding RNA from Caenorhabditis elegans, 137 nucleotides. NCBI's taxonomy places the organism in Eukaryota, Metazoa, Nematoda, Chromadorea, Rhabditida, Rhabditidae. The record is from Ensembl.